Molecule: non-coding RNA, 54 nt
Organism: Salmo salar (Atlantic salmon)
Lineage: Eukaryota; Metazoa; Chordata; Actinopteri; Salmoniformes; Salmonidae
Source: Rfam
UAUGCACUCUACUGUAAGUCGCUCUGGAUAAGAGCGUCUGCUAAAUGACGUAAA